CUCAAACCCUUAACCUAUAGACACCCACACGGCCACACCACACGCAGUCACUGGCAAACACAUCUACUGUUUCGGCGUCGAUAAUAUUCACUUCCCGCUGGCCGCCGCACGCACACACAAAGACACCAACGCCGACGAUGCAACCAUGGGGUUAACUUCUAAUCAAUGGUUCUCUGCACGCUGGGUCAUAAGGAAGACCUUUUGGAGCUACAGGAUGAGGAGCUGGCUUCCACCAUGAGAGAACAAAUAAAGCGAGCAUUGUAAUUUUGGGAAAGAAAUUGGGUAUUUUGUUGCUUUUGCACCCUGUUUCCUUUAAGUUAUUAUUAUUAGCCACCUCUACCUAAUUUUUAGUGGUAUGUUUAUCUAGCAUUCUGUUGUACCCCUUAAAAUAAAAUGCCUCGCUCAGGAACCGGAGAGAUUUAUGUAGGCGUUGAGUAUGGCACAAUCUCGAUGUAUCAGCAAGCAAAUAAGAAUUGGCGCCCUAAUUCAGGAUACAAAUAUGUUAGUUCCUUAUACUGGUCAGUACGUCCUGAUAUAUAUAUAUAUGUAUGUAUUUCACACCGAUCAAUACUCCCUCCGUCGCCUUACAAUGUGCUCAUUUUUCAUUUGGGAUUUUCAUAAAAAAAAUAUUCUUGUUUCUCUUUUUAAUAAAAAAAUAUAUUACUUUUUGUAUUUUCUUGCUAUAAAAAGAAAAAAGUAACAAAAAGUACACACCUCAUAUUGAAACCCAUAUCCGAAAGUUUGAGCACAUUUUUUGGGGAUGGAGGAAGUAUUUGAUUUUCUAUUCAUGUUUGGCUUGUUUAGGUGUUGUUCACCCUUGGGGUGUGUUUGGUUCAACGUUCAACAAAGGGUAGUGUAUUGGUUCAUAUGGAAUGAAGAAAAGGGGAGGGGGGGGGGGAGAUACCUAGUAAUUUUGCAUUUGAUUAGGGAAUUGAGGUGAAGGAAAAUAAAUUAUUUUCCAAUUAUACUACUAUAUUACUGGGAAAAACCAUAAACAAAAAGCUACAAUUUAGGUGAGUUUAUUUUACUAUAUUGCUAGGGAGAUCUUUAUUGAUAGUAAAUGGUUGACUUUAUGGUUCUGAUUAUGUCGCAGUGCUGGGACAAUUGAGGUUAUUUUGGUCAACCAAUGGGAAUAUAUGUAGUUAUUUUUUAUUAAAAGUUAUUGUGUUAUGUCUUUUUCUAUAAGAGCUUUUGGCUAUUUUGUUAUGUUGUUGGGUUCAAUAUAAUGAUGUGUGUCAAAUGACGACAUGCGACUUCGAAAAAGUAUACAAUCUUCCUGGGACUUUUCUAGUGUUAAGCGACUCUGUAUUUUAAAGCGACUCUAGUGUGAGCUCAAAGCUGGUUUCCCAAAAUGUAUUUUGUUAUUAUUAUUUUUCCUUAUUUUUCUUUACAUGAUUUAAUCCGCAUUGGUGUCCCCAAAAUGUACUUUAGCCUCUUUUAAAUAAUAUGAUGUGGGUUGAUUCUUUGGGUGCACUAUUUUGGAAUUUGAUUAUAUGUUCUUUUACUAUGCAACUAUCAUGAUUCUUAUCAAAAGACAAUCAAACUCUAAAUGAGCACACUCUAUUUCUUGGUUUUAUAUAUAUAUAUAUAAAUAUAUGUGCACAUUCUGAUAUGUCUUGUAUAGAGUAGUGGGCAUAGUAGUUUUGAAAAUGAGAUUCACCAUCCUGCUCCGGUUCAGAAGAAAACUGACUCUAUGUUGAAUCUAAUGUUACGAGAAGUAACUUGAGAAUUAAAUGUGUUGCUCGUAAAACAGACUAUUUAGAUGCUUUGAUGGAUAUUGCAGAGGACAUAUUGCAUGCAGUUCUCUUUCUUAGACCUAAUUGAUAUCUGUCAAGCAGCAGGGGUUUGCAGACAAUGGAGACACAAGUUGUUUUGAAGACUUCUUAUGGUUUUUAAAUUUUGAGAAUAAAGCGAUGUUUAUCAAACGAUGUAAGUGUAGUUCAAUUGUGAUAUGCUAUUUGUUCAACGAUUUUUUUAUCCAUUAUAUGACAUUUUGAUAUAAAUAUGGAUUCAAAGUUCUUUCUGCCUACAUUUUAGAUAUGUGAAAUAUGAUCAAGUAUAAUCCAACUAUUAUUCGGCUUAAAGCCUUUUCAUUCUUACAUGCAUGUGUUGAUUCUCUUGUCCCAGAGAGUUAAGAACUUACUUUUAACUUUGUUCUUUCAUUUAGUUGAAACCAUGUGUGAUCGAUAUCCAAACACUACAAGUGUGAAUGUCUAUGGUGCUCCAGAAUUGACCUUCUUAGAAUAAAAACAUUAGCCUUAUUGAGGUAUAUACAAUAUGCAUUUUUUUAAGAUGGUUUAACUGUGGUAGUCUUAUAUUAUAUUUAUGAACCUCUCAUUUAUCCUAGAAAUCUUGAGAGUUUAACUCUGGGCAAAAGCUAGUUGCCAGAGGCAUUUUUCCAAGUCUUAAUUGAUUGCCGUAUGUUGAAUAAAUUAGUUACAUUUCACAUGAUAGAUUAGUUGAGCUUCACAUACAGAGAUGUCCGCGCUGCAUAUCUGUCAGGUACAAAGUUUACCAUUUUUGUCGCAUUUUGUCCUAUUGUAUUGUUUUUCAACUGCAUUAAUUAUAUUUAUGGUCUUCUUCAAAUAUUCACACCUUGAAACUUUGUCUCUCAGACGUAGUAGCAUGUCUCAUGUAAUACUCAAUUGUCGCAUUUUGCAAGAACUUGAUAUCACUUCCUGUCAAAAGCUUUUUGAUGGUGCAAUUUGUUCAUUAGCAAAAUCCUCCCCAUGAUUGGAAUCCUUGGAUAUGUCGAAUUUUUUUCAAACUGAACCUAACGGAGUAAGGAAGAAAGUGGCUCUUCAUACCAAAAGAUACACACUGGUGGUAUGCGACUAAGAUGAAAAUGAGAUCCAGCUUAUGAGGAAAAGGUCCUAAAGCAGCUUAAUAAUAGCAUACAAGAGGCUUAUAACAAGUGGAUGAGCAAUCUAAGAAAUGCGCGGGAUAGAACCUUGCACUUGGUUUAUUUUAUGUUAUCGUAUGAUAUUGGGAACAAAGUUUAUUUUGUAUUCUAUUGUGUUAACUUUUUGGAUUGUUGUUGGAAUGACUAUAUUAUUAGUUUGUUAUUUUUUGGGACAAGUGUAUGAAUGUAAAAUGAAUCUAUAUUGUUAGUUUGAAAUUGUUUGGAACAGACAUUGGAAUUCGAAAUGAAUCUAU
Long non-coding RNA from Andrographis paniculata, 3156 nucleotides. RefSeq lists it as uncharacterized. The transcript has 4 exons. The record is from RefSeq and is a predicted model, not a curated record. Lineage: Eukaryota; Viridiplantae; Streptophyta; Magnoliopsida; Lamiales; Acanthaceae.